AUACGUAGGUGGCGAGCGUUGUCCGGAAUUAUUGGGCGUAAAGAGCAUGUAGGCGGCUUUUUAAGUCGGGCGUGAAAAUGCGGGGCUUAACCCCGUAUGGCGUUCGAAACUGGAGGGCUUGAGUGCAGGAGAGGAAAGGGGAAUUCCCAGUGUAGCGGUGAAAUGCGUAGAUAUUGGGAGGAACACCAGUGGCGAAGGCGCCUUUCUGGACUGUGUCUGACGCUGAGAUGCGAAAGCCAGGGUAGC
RNAcentral lists this ribosomal RNA (246 nucleotides) under uncultured bacterium. RNAcentral's name for it is "partial 16S ribosomal RNA". It matches the Rfam family "Bacterial small subunit ribosomal RNA", at positions 523 to 769 of the family's 1533-position model. The record is from RNAcentral.